UUAGUACUGCUUUUGCAGUAUCCCACAGGGUCUUGGGCUGAGGUUGUGUUCACUCAGCCCCAAUCUGUGUCAGGGUCUCUGGGGCAGACAGUCAUCAUCUCCUGCACCCGCAGCAGUGGCAGCAUUGAUGAUGGAUAUGUGCAGUGGUACCAGCAGCGCCUGGGCAGUGCCCCCACCACCAUGAUUUAUAAGGACAAUCAAAGACCCUCCGGGGUUCCUGAUCGGUUCUCUGGCUCCAUCGACAGCUCCUCCAAUGUCGCCUCCCUGACCAUCUCUGGGCUGCAGCCUGAAGAAGAGGCCGACUACUACUGUCAGUCUUAUGAUGGCAACAACAAUCACACAGUGCACCAGAGCCAUGGGGAAGUGAGAUGA
Molecule: non-coding RNA, 372 nt
Organism: Cynocephalus volans (Philippine flying lemur)
Lineage: Eukaryota; Metazoa; Chordata; Mammalia; Dermoptera; Cynocephalidae
Source: the annotation of a RefSeq genome assembly